AUGGUUGUCGUCAGCUCGUGUUGUGAGAUGUUGGGUUAAGUCCCGCAACGAGCGCAACCCUUGCUUUAGUUACCAUCAUUAAUUGGGGACUCUAGCGAGACUGCCGGUGUCAAGCCGGAGGAAGUGGGGAUGACGUCAAGUCCUCAUGGCCCUUAUGUCCAGGGCUACACACGUGCUACAAUGGCCGGUACAGAGAGCAGCAAGCCUGCGAGGGUGAGCGAAUCUCAAAAAGCCGGCCUCAGUACGGAUUGGAGUCUGCAACUCGACUCCAUGAAGUCGGAAUCGCUAGUAAUCGCGGAUCAGCACGCCGCGGUGAAUACGUUCCCGGGCCUU
This 333-nucleotide ribosomal RNA is filed under the name uncultured Syntrophaceae bacterium. Its description in RNAcentral is "bacterial SSU rRNA". It matches the Rfam family "Bacterial small subunit ribosomal RNA", at positions 1045 to 1382 of the family's 1533-position model. The record is from RNAcentral. Lineage: Bacteria; Pseudomonadati; Thermodesulfobacteriota; Syntrophia; Syntrophales; Syntrophaceae.